This 297-nucleotide unclassified non-coding RNA is filed under the name uncultured fungus. Its description in RNAcentral is "sequence contains ITS1". The stretch from base 1 to 104 matches the Rfam family "5.8S ribosomal RNA", at positions 50 to 154 of the family's 154-position model. The record is from RNAcentral. Lineage: Eukaryota; Fungi.
AAAGCGCGUUAGCUACUGCGAACUGCAGGAUUACUUGAGCAGCAAGAGCUUGAACGCAAAUUGCGGCUUCGGGUAUUCCCGGAGUCACGUUCGCCUGAGGGUCGAAAUAUCAACAUCUACAACCAUUUGUUGGUUAAUGAAAUGGCUUCGCCGACAGCUUGCUGUCUGCGAGCUUAAGAUGAUUAUAAACAGCUUUGAUCAGUUAACACCGAAUGUGUUUAACAUUGUUCAACAACUUGUUAAUUAUCUAUUUUCCAACAUCGACCUCAGACGAGCGAGAUUGCCCGCUGAGUUUAA